GACGACGGCGUAUAGUCAAGCAAAGGCAUCGUCGCCAGAAAUAUUGGAAUCCUUGUGCUUGCCAAUGUCGUAUUUGUCGUACUUCUAACAGAUCGAAUCAACUCUGGUCAGAAUGUCGACGAUGCUCAUGAUUUUACCAGGUACUGGCAUAAAUCAACGGCGUUAAUUAAUAAUCGGUAAUGUACAUCCGCAAAGAAAAUAGCCGAGAUGACGCUUGAUGGAAAACAAAGGUUCAGGCGUCCAGGAUCUGCGAUGACGACGACAAGAUGAGAGGGUAGGACAAUCAACUGCUUUAGCUACUGCUACGGGUACUAGCUUACAAGUUUGCUUAUUGCUUUCACUUAAAAGUUAGGAGUUCUAUUUAAUCACAAUCUCCUAUUUUUUCAAUUUUUUUGAAUACUGAUUUCUGCUAUCAAAUUAUUUCAGAGAUCAGCAUAUCCAUAAAAAUUUCAAUCUGGUUUCUGCUUACUAAUCCUUGAAAAAAUGAUUUGCUAUAAAUAUUUGAUUUAGUUUCUAUUUUUCAUUUGUACUUGCAUGUUGCGUCCCCAUUUAGCUGAUUCAUCAGAUAACAUAUCUAUUGUCUUUAUUGUUGAAAAGAUUAUUUCACUAAUUAACUGGCGUUUAUACCGUUUAUAAAUUAUAAAUGAAAGUUAGUCACCUCAAUGUGGUCCAUUUGACUUUUGUUGGAAUUAUAUGAAUGGAAUGCUUGCUAUAGACAAAGUUUUGGGUUUAUAUUUGUCAUUUGUGCAUCUUGGAGAAGCACUGAUAAAAUUCUUGCUGAAUUGAAGGUAAACUGGAAUUCAUGAUUUAAGUUGAUUAAAAUUGGUUGAUUCUCAUCUCAUGUUUAUCCUACAUUGUAUGUGAAAGGAUGAAAGUGUGAAUCUCUUACUAGACCAAAAUUAUUGAUAGGUUAAAAUAAAGUGCAUACUUUUCUUGCCUUAUUGGGCCAUAUUUAUAUGGAAACUUAGUCUAUUUUGUCAACAACUGGUGAUCAAAGGAAUUUAUGUUAUGACUGAUUGGGUGUAUCAGCUUGUGUCACAUUUUGAUAUCUCCCCAAAAUUUUUUAUUAUUUGAUUCGUUUUUUAAUUUCUAAACCUACUUCCCUAGGUUGAUUAUGCCUGUAAUCUGCACAUUCUUUUCGAAAGAUUGGUCAUGUGUGCUUUGAGAAUAAUACAUUUCAAGUUGUUAUAGACUGCCUUAUCGUAAAUUUGUCAUUGUUAUGUAAUUAAAAUAUGUAGCAGAGAUAAAUACUGUGGGAAGGCUUGUGAUGGGGUGAUGUUGUAGAAACAUGCAGUAGAAAGAAAUAUUGUGGCUACUCUAAUGUAGUUAAAAAUAAAAAUAAAAAUAAAAACUUCUGUACAUAAUUUUAAGUUUACAACUCUAUUGGCUAUAAGAUAUGGCACUUCAGAUUUUAUUAUGUGCAAGUUCUAAUUUUAGUUUCAAUUUUUGUUACAAGAAACCCUCAAGUACCAAUGACGUGCUAGCAGUGUCUUCUGAAGCACGUGUCUGAUCCAAUGCAGAUUCAACGGUGAUAUCCCAACCCACUUCAGGAGCUAAAUUGAUAAAGCUGGAAUAUAAUUAUAAAUAAAAUAAUUAGUCAUAUAUAAUUAUAAAUUUUAACACUUCCAUAAUUUUUUCACUUUUAUUUUCUUUAUAAUAUAAACAUAAAAUAAGUUCAGUUGUAUUGGCUUCAGUCAUUUGAUGAACUCAAAAACUGAGGAAUUGUUGACUUUUUCUGUCACUUUCUAGCGAUAUAAUCUAUUUUACCCUGCAAUUUAAAUUUUAAGCUCAUCUUACAUCCUAGAUGUUUCCGCUUGCCUUCUGUUUUUUUAUUUCUAUUUUUUUUUUCAUGUGAGAUGGUGGGGCUGCAGGGCUGUUCCUUGCUUGCAAGAAAACAAAAUGAAACUUUUUAGUUAGCUUUGUCCAGGGGGUAUUGUUGUUAUUCCCUUUUCCACGGACUGAUAUUAUGUUACUCUUAUAACACGCAAUGCCCAUCCCAACUCCACCACGCCAACUCUGUCCUUUUUUUUUUUUCCAGGGCAAGUCAAGUCACAGAGUCUAGGUAUCUAGAUCUACAAUGUUACCCAAUUUUCUUUAAUGUUACCAAGUUACUGGUAUAUCAGAGAUUCAUCUUACAACAAUUAUAGUGUAAAUUGACAGCCAGGUUGGGGUUGUGACUAUGUACCAUAUUUUUUUACCAUAAAUAAGAGUUGAUAAAUGUUAUAA
Prosopis cineraria is the source of this 2226-nucleotide long non-coding RNA. RefSeq lists it as uncharacterized. The transcript has 2 exons. The record is from RefSeq and is a predicted model, not a curated record. Lineage: Eukaryota; Viridiplantae; Streptophyta; Magnoliopsida; Fabales; Fabaceae.